UCCGGGUUUCGCCCGGCAGUCUCCCUAGAAUAUUCAACUAAGGACAGGGGUUGCGCUCGUUGCGGGAGGUGCUCACUUUCGUGAGCAUUUCCUCUGCAUGUCAAACCCAGGUAAGGUUCUUCGCGUUGCCUCGAAUUAAACCACACGCUCCGCUGCUUGUGCGGGCCCCCGCCUAUUCCUUUGAGUUUUAACCUUGCGGCCGUAGUCCCCAGGCGGUGAACUUAAUGCGUUAGCUGCGGCACUGAUCGGGUCAAUCCGACCAACACCUAGUUCACAACGUUUAGGGCGUGGACUAC
RNAcentral lists this unclassified non-coding RNA (296 nucleotides) under uncultured Chloroflexota bacterium. RNAcentral describes it as "uncultured Chloroflexi bacterium contains 16S-23S intergenic spacer region". The record is from RNAcentral. Lineage: Bacteria; Bacillati; Chloroflexota.